This 396-nucleotide ribosomal RNA is filed under the name uncultured bacterium. RNAcentral describes it as "partial 16S ribosomal RNA". It matches the Rfam family "Bacterial small subunit ribosomal RNA", at positions 338 to 732 of the family's 1533-position model. The record is from RNAcentral.
CCUACGGGAGGCUGCAGUGAGGAAUAUUUGUCAAUGGCCGAGAGGCUGAACCAGCCAAGUCGCGUGAGGGAAGGCGGCCCUACGGGUUGUAAACCUCUUUUGUCGGGGAGCAAAGCGAGUCACGUGUGACUCAUUGAGAGUACCCGAAGAAAAAGCAUCGGCUAACUCCGUGCCAGCAGCCGCGGUAAUCCGGAGGAUGCGAGCGUUAUCCGGAUUUGUUGGGUUGAAGGGGUGCGCAGGCGGAGGUGCAAGUCAGCGGUCAACUUGCGGGGCUCAACCCCGGACUGCCGUUGAAACUGCAUGCCUUGAGUGCGCGAGAGGGAUGCGGAAUGCGUGGUGUAGCGGUGAAAUGCAUAGAUAUCACGAAGAACUCUGAUUGCGAAGGCAGCAUACCGG